RNAcentral lists this ribosomal RNA (421 nucleotides) under uncultured bacterium. RNAcentral's name for it is "partial 16S ribosomal RNA". It matches the Rfam family "Bacterial small subunit ribosomal RNA", at positions 360 to 773 of the family's 1533-position model. The record is from RNAcentral.
AAUAUUGGACAAUGGGGGCAACCCUGAUCCAGCCAUGCCGCGUGCGUGAAGGAGGUCUNCGGAUUNUNAAGCACUUUCAGUUGGGNGGAUGGGCUUUAGGUUAAUACCCUUAAUUUUGGACGUUACCAACAGAAUAAGCACCGGCUAACUCUGUGCCAGCAGCCGCGGUAAUACAGAGGGUGCAAGCGUUAAUCGGAAUUACUGGGCGUAAAGCGCACGUAGGUGGUUCAGUAAGAUGGGUGUGAAAUCCCCGGGCUUAACCUGGGAACUGCUUUCAUAACUGCUGAGCUAGAGUACGGUAGAGAGUAGUGGAAUUUCCUGUGUAGCGGUGAAAUGCGUAGAUAUAGGAAGGAACACCAGUGGCGAAGGCGACUACCUGGACUGAUACUGACACUGAGGUGCGAAAGCGUGGGGAGCAAAC